RNAcentral lists this ribosomal RNA (433 nucleotides) under uncultured bacterium. RNAcentral describes it as "partial 16S ribosomal RNA". It matches the Rfam family "Bacterial small subunit ribosomal RNA", at positions 29 to 507 of the family's 1533-position model. The record is from RNAcentral.
AACGAACGCUGGCGGCAUGCCUAACACAUGCAAGUCGAACGAGACCUUCGGGUCUAGUGGCGCACGGGUGCGUAACGCGUGGGAAUCUGCCCUUCGGUUGGGAAUAACUGAGAGAAAUUUCAGCUAAUACCUUAUAAUGUCUUCGGACCAAAGAUUUAUCGCCGAGGGAUGAGCCCGCGUAGGAUUAGGUAGUUGGUGGGGUAAUGGCCUACCAAGCCGACGAUCCUUAGCUGGUCUGAGAGGAUGAUCAGCCACACUGGGACUGAGACACGGCCCAGACUCCUACGGGAGGCAGCAGUGGGGAAUAUUGGACAAUGGGGGAAAGCCUGAUCCAGCAAUGCCGCGUGAGUGAUGAAGGCCUUAGGGUUGUAAAGCUCUUUUACCCGGGAUGAUAAUGACAGUACCGGGAGAAUAAGCGCCGGCUAACUCCGUG